UGGGGAAUUUUGGACAAUGGGGGAAACCCUGAUCCAGCCAUCCCGCGUGUGCGAUGAAGGCCUUCGGGUUGUAAAGCAUUUUUGGCAGGAAAGAAACGUCAUGGGUUAAUACCCCGUGAAACUGACGGUACCUGCAGAAUAAGCACCGGCUAACUACGUGCCAGCAGCCGCGGUAAUACGUAGGGUGCAAGCGUUAAUCGGAAUUACUGGGCGUAAAGCGUGCGCAGGCGGUUCGGAAAGAAAGAUGUGAAAUCCCAGAGCUCAACUUUGGAACUGCAUUUUUAACUACCGGGCUAGAGUGUGUCAGAGGGAGGUGGAAUUCCGCGUGUAGCAGUGAAAUGCGUAGAUAUGCGGAGGAACACCGAUGGCGAAGGCAGCCUCCUGGGAUAACACUGACGUUCAUGCACGAAAGCGUGGGGAGCAAACAGG
This 429-nucleotide ribosomal RNA is filed under the name Acidobacteriota bacterium. RNAcentral describes it as "Acidobacteria bacterium partial 16S ribosomal RNA". It matches the Rfam family "Bacterial small subunit ribosomal RNA", at positions 355 to 776 of the family's 1533-position model. Lineage: Bacteria; Pseudomonadati; Acidobacteriota. The record is from RNAcentral.